CUUCCCUUAUUAACAAUUCCCACACCAAAAAGUGUCUGACUCAUAUAAAACAAGUCAGACUGUUAGUUUACUGUUUGCCUGAUUGCUCUGUUUCAUCACAGCUUUUCAGUGCAGAUCAGAUGAGCUUGUCCUGAACAAAUCAGAUGAUUAAAUCUCUCAGGUUAAAGCAGUGACACUCUCCGGAUUAUUGUUGUACAGAGCUGUCGGUUUGUGUCUGCUUCACCAGCUCAACAAAAGGAGAGGAGAAAAGUGAGGAAGAGGAUGAGAGGGCAGUGGCAUAAUGAAAACAUCAUUGUAUGGGAGGAGAUGCUGAUCUAAUCAGUGAGGAAAUGAGGCCUGAGAAUGCCCAGUCAUUUUGGACUCAUUUCUACGUCUCCUUUUAAAGCCGCUCAGCCAUCGAUUAGCCCCAGAGGAGCUCCGGACAGGAAACGACAUGAUUAGAUGGCUCCCCAAUUUGAACACUUUCCUUCUGCUGCACGUUCAAAAACUCACAGGUAAGAUUAGAGCAGCUUGUUUUAUGGUGAUUUAACUGCAGGAAUAAAAAAGUGUCACAUAAUUAAAGUGGCAAAUUAUUUAUGCUUUAUGUACUUUCUAAAAUCUUCUACGUGUUUGCUCUGGUUACAAGCUACUAAAUCUUUACACUGCAAUUUAUCAGAGAGUGAGAGGCAGCAUGUAGAGCAGCUUCUGCAAAGAGUUAUGCACACGUGUGUGUACAAAUGUCAGUGGAUAAGAAAACCUGUUUCUUCUUUCCUCACUUUUCACUUAAGCAUCAAAAACAAAGUCCUACGCUGAGUUGUGUCUGCACACCAGGCUCUGCAUGCACCCAGUAGAAACAUGCUCCUGCCAUGAGCUGCCCGCUGGUCGGACAGAGAUGUGGAGCUCGGACAGAAGCAGACCAGAGAAAAAUCUGGGAGACGUUCUCUCUGACUGACAGUUCACGGGGAAGCACGGCUGAAAUCAACCUUCAUUCCUCUUGUUGAGAAAAAAACAACAAGCUAAGAAUUUGUUGUUCAGCAAAAUUCCAUCCCUUGUUCUACAAUUAGUGGCAUCCCUGCUGUUGAUACUUUCUAUAACUUCCUUUUGCCAAUUAAAUAGCACCUAGUCUUUUCCAAUAGCAUUUACAAGGUGAAGUGUGCAGUGAGGGAUCUUUGACUGCUCCUGCAGAUAUUGAUGGCUGCUUUGCUGCAUCCCUUCUCCAACACACCUGGAUCAAAUUCAGUUUGAGUUCUGCAGAGAAAAGGCUGCUACACCAGGAUGGAGUUGGUGAAGAAUGGGAGCAAGAAGAUCAGGAGAGGAGGAGAGAGCGAGGAAAUUUAAGGGAAGGUUUGAAGAGAAAUGGCAGGAUGCGAUCGCGCUAAAACGAGAGUGGAGGGAGAGGAUCACAGCUGUGCCGACAAGAUUCAGAGCGAGGUUUUACCUGAUGGGGGACAACGUCUCCCAACCAGCCGAACCAGCUGUCAGACGGGGGUCAGUGCUCACAUCUGACACCUGCACAGUUUCCACUGCUGUUCCUGCAAACUUAUAAUGCAUCUUUAAAUGUCAGUCUGCCCAUACAAUAAACAAAACACCUGGCAUGCACCCAGAGUCGUGUUCAACAAAAUGUUAGAGGGCAAACGUGGUCUUUUUUAUUUUUCUGAAGGGAUUCACUUUGGUAGAAAAUGAGAAAACGCUGCUGUUAUUCUCCUUCUACAAAAUAAGAUGGAAAAUUACUGAGAGUUUAAUGGGAGGUCUUACCUCCAUGAGAUAAAGGACAUUUUACCAGGAGUCCAUUUCUUCUAUAAUCUCAAAUUGGCUGAUUCAUUUUAAUUACAUAAAAUCUUUUGAGUCUCUUGAUCACUUUAUUGGUGAUUUGACAGAUAAAUUGUGUUGAAUUUGUCUUUUGCUGUGGUAUUGUUGUCCUGGUUUUAAUUUUUUAACAAUCCACCAACCAGUUAUUCUGCACUGUUGUAAUGAAACUCAUCAAAUAUUAACAUAGAUUGUCUCUAAGUUUAUACCUUCAUCUGUCUUUUCCAUAUUUUAACAUAAUAAUCCAGAGAAAAAUAAAAAAGGUGAAGCUACAUUGACCUUUAAAGAAGAAUUGCAUUGCAAACCCCUGAUAAGUGAAGCUGACCUCAAUCACAGGUUCAGAUAGACAGUCAGUUUGAAUUCAUCUAUUAGGAUUUUCAUGGUUUGAAAUGUUUUCAACAAGUAAUUUAAUCUGAUCUUGACAAGUUCUCCAGGAACUUACAAUAAAAACAAUGUGCUGAGAUGGAGAGGCAAAAUGCUGUUUUGUUCUGGAAGCAUUGUGACAUGCUCACACCUGAACACACAGGCACAAAUCACAAUGUGCUACACUUGUCAAUUACCUCACAUCCAUGUAAUUCUUUCUAAAUGUGGUGCUGACAGCUGUUUUAACACACUGAAAACUGUAGAAUUAGCCGCAGAAGCUCGGCUGCAGCUCAGGGUGUCUGUGAAAGACAGUUAUUAUGGAGCGGAAGCAGAGAUACGGCUCUGGAUGUACUGUCAUCGAUAAUGCUGGGGGAUCUCACCUCUUGCGGCGCCGUUGCUACAUCGGGUUUGGAAUUCACAGUGGAAUGACAGACAUGUCACAAAGAUAAACUGCUGUCAGCCCGGCUUUGUGGGCUACUUGAGAUGACUGCAACAAUGGAGGGAUUGAAUCACCUUGUCAUUCUCUGAGCAUUUCCUCUUUUAUUCCUGCUUUCACCAACUUGGCUUUGCCUGUAGCGUUGUCAGGGUCGUCCAAAAGCCCACAGGCCAGUGGCAGCCUUUGCUUUUUGUGACCCUGACUGAAGAUUGACCCGAAGCUGCCGGAGGCGGGGUCACUAUAGACGGAAGAAUGACCUUAAAUGAAGACUAAAUUUAGCCUUUCUAUAUUCCAAACUCCGUGUUUUAGAUUACUCGGAUGUUUAUUGUCACGUUGUGGUAUGAAUUAUCUACAUUUUAGAUCUUUUUUGUCAGUCAGAAAAGAUUCAGUUUUAGGUUGAAUAUCACUGCAAUAAUUUUUCCAUUUCUCAUGUAUAUUAUAGAUAAAAUUUGCAAGGUGAGAUUAAUGUUUUAAGAAAAAAUGUAAACUGCAUUAGAAUAAAUAAAGAAAAUGACAGAG
This is a long non-coding RNA of Poecilia latipinna (sailfin molly), 3103 nucleotides long. RefSeq lists it as uncharacterized. The transcript is spliced from 3 exons. Lineage: Eukaryota; Metazoa; Chordata; Actinopteri; Cyprinodontiformes; Poeciliidae. The record is from RefSeq and is a predicted model, not a curated record.